Molecule: ribosomal RNA, 301 nt
Filed under: uncultured bacterium
Lineage: Bacteria
Description: partial 16S ribosomal RNA
Rfam family: Bacterial small subunit ribosomal RNA
Source: RNAcentral
CAGCCGCCGCGGUAAUACGUAGGUGGCAAGCGUUGUCCGGAAUUAUUGGGCGUAAAGGGCUCGCAGGCGGCUUCUUAAGUCUGAUGUGAAAGCCCCCGGCUCAACCGGGGAGGGUCAUUGGAAACUGGGAAACUUGAGUGCAGAAGAGGAGAGUGGAAUUCCACGUGUAGCGGUGAAAUGCGUAGAGAUGUGGAGGAACACCAGUGGCGAAGGCGACGCUCUGGUCUGUAACUGACGCUGAGGAGCGAAAGCGUGGGGAGCGAACAGGAUUAGAUACCCCCGUAGUCCCUGUCUCUUAUCA